RNAcentral lists this ribosomal RNA (497 nucleotides) under uncultured bacterium. RNAcentral's name for it is "partial 16S ribosomal RNA". It matches the Rfam family "Bacterial small subunit ribosomal RNA", at positions 28 to 507 of the family's 1533-position model. The record is from RNAcentral.
GAUGAACGCUGGCGGCGUGCCUAAUACAUGCAAGUCGAGCGAACAGACGAGGAGCUUGCUCCUCUGACGUUAGCGGCGGACGGGUGAGUAACACGUGUAUAACCUACCUAUAAGACUGGGAUAACUUCGGGAAACCGGAGCUAAUACCGGAUAAUCUAUUGAACCGCAUGGUUCAUUAGUGAAAGACGGUUUUGCGGUCACUUAUAGCUGGAUCCGCGCCGGAUUAGCUAGUUGUUAAGGUAACGGCUUAUCACGGCGAGGAGGCGUAGCCGACCUGAGAGAGUGGUCGGCCACACGGGAACUGAGACAGGGUCCAGACUCCUAAGGGAGGCAGCAGUAGGGAAUCUGCCGCAAUGGGCGAAAGCCUGACGGAGCAAGGCCGCGUGAGUGAUGAAGGUCUUCGGAUCGUAAUACUCUGUUAUUGGGGAAGAACAAAUGUGUAAGUAACUAUGCACGUCUUGACGGUACCGAAUCAGAAAGCCACGGCUAACUACGUG